AUUGAACGCUGGCGGCAUGCCUAACACAUGCAAGUCGAACGGCAACACAGUCUAGCUUGCUAGAUGGGUGGCGAGUGGCGAACGGGUGAGUAACGCGUAGGAAUAUGCCUUAAAGGAGGGGGACAACUUGGGGAAACUCAAGCUAAUACCGCAUACACUCUACGGAGAAAAGCUGGGGACCUUCGGGCCUGGCGCUUUAA
This 200-nucleotide ribosomal RNA is filed under the name uncultured bacterium. Its description in RNAcentral is "partial 16S ribosomal RNA". It matches the Rfam family "Bacterial small subunit ribosomal RNA", at positions 30 to 223 of the family's 1533-position model. The record is from RNAcentral.